GCCUUCUGAGAAGGGCCUCAGGGCCUUUGAGGUCCAGGAGCCACUUCCCUCUGCAGGCUUCCCUGCCCUCCCGGCCUGAUUAGAGCAAGGAUUUCAAUUUGCAGGAAAAGGAGGAGGAAAUUCAACCUGGGAAAUACUAUUUUCUUUCUCUGGUUAGCAAGAUGCCACUCUGGAAAUAUAAUCUCACGUUUAAGAUUUGAGAUAAUUGGUGAAAUGCGUGUGCAUAUAGCAUUUAUUUUCAUUUCUGUACACACAUGUAGAUUUUGGUAAAUAGAAGAGGGUUCUCAACUCAGUACCUCAGGUUACAAUGGGGCCGUGAGGAAGGAUGGUGGUGGAGAGAAGGCUGCUUUGCAGAUUUUCAGCUGAGGAAGCAGAGGGAACCACACUGAUGCUGUCCGGGCACCGCUCAGCGUGAGGCUGGUGACCUGAUGAAGUUGGUGCCUUUCACUGUGGAGCUGUUCAUGUGCCUGGCCCAGGACUAGAAGAUGAAGGAGGUGAUCUGGCGGGAGCUGAAGGAACUGCAUAUCCUGCUGCUGCCCCAGGCUAGCAAGGUGAUUCAGCGGAUCAGCAACGUGUGUGACCAGUGCUGAACUUCAAAGCUUAAUGGCAGCUGUUUAACUUGGGAUUUCCACAUCUCAUGCAAAUUUCUCUUGUGUACAAUCCUAGCUCAGAGUCCUGUAAGGAAAGAACUUUUGAGGAGCACAGUUCCAGCUUAGUUAAAUUGACACAAAGUAAAGCCACACCCUAAGUGCCUGUAGGACUUAGUUGGUGCCAGCACAGAACAGUGAAUUCCAGUGAACCUGGCAAGCAUUCACUAUUGCCUGGAAAGUUAGAGAUGGGCUGCGGUGAGAGGUAGCAAAAUCAAAACAUUUUACAGAUGGAUGAAACAUUUUGUAGAAGUGAAGAGAAUAUCUGCACUGAAGACAAAAGUCUAUCAAAGAGAUUACUGAACCAAACAUUCCCAGGUCUCUUGUUGAGAACUGCCCUGCCUCGUUUUAGGAGCUGUAACCACCCCCAUGGAUAAGGCUGAGCAAGUGACCUUUGGACCAUAAUCCACUAAGGAGACAAAGCUUAUCUCCCUGGUAGGGGUGCAGCCUCUGCUCCUUUUACUUCACCCUGCCUGGCCCCCAAUGCUUGAUUCAUUAACCAUUGACUGGACUCGGUAGUCAGUGUGAAUUUCUCGUGCGCCAUCCACAAUGUGGUGGACCCCACAAGCUGGGGUCCACAUCAGUCACUUGCCAGAAAUAUUGAAGAGUCAAGCAUAGGAAGACCACAUAUUUGUAUCAUUUUCCUGAAACAGACUUAGUCCAUCGAUGCUGUGCUAAGUGAAGUAAACCAGUUGGAGAAGGAUAAGCACCAUAUGAUUUCCCUCAUAUGUGAAGCCUAAUGAACAAACUGAACUAACAAGCAGCAUGGGUACAGAUUGGUAGAUGAAGACCAGGCUGAGAGUUCUGGGGUGGGGGUUGAGCAAAAAGGAAAAAGGACUCAUGGACAUGGACAACAGUAUGGUGAUUGUGGGGGAGAGAUGGGUGUAAGGGGGACAAAUGGUAAUGGAAAUAGUACAAUAAAAAAUAAACUAUUAAAAAUGAAAAAAAUCCAAUCUUCCUAGAAGCAGCCAACGUGAUACAUUCUGAGAAGGAGUGGUAUCUUAAAUACUGCCAUGGACAUCAAAGUCCCAGUAUCCAUGACAAAAAUGGGAAUGUGAUACCAGUUGGACUUGGAACUGUGUGAGUCUAUAUAUUUUGUCCACUGGCCUGUUGGGCUAAGAAGUCAGGUACUUUGUCCCCUGGUAUUUGCUGAAUAAGUCAGGUACUUUGUCCCCUGGUAUCUGCUGAAUACCAUGCACCCGGGCACAGAAAUGCUUGAUACUGUUUUUGAAUGAAUAGAAAAGAUAGUCCUAGAGGCUGCUAAUCUGAUUACAGCAGCAGCUGAAAUAGCGUCUCUGCAACUUUGAGACCAAAUGGUACAAGACUGCUCUCUCUAUUUCUCUACCAGUGAUAUCUUAUGUUCUAAUAUUCUAAGCCUUAGGUGUCUAAAUAAAGGUGUCAGGAAUACAUCUUUAAUUUCUGUUGUUUUUCUGAGCUUCUUCAAGUGAUCUAAUCUUUCUGUGGCCAUUUCUCUGAACAUGGAAUGAGACUAGACUAGAGCAACCACCUCAAAUAG
Molecule: long non-coding RNA, 2163 nt
Organism: Artibeus jamaicensis (Jamaican fruit-eating bat)
Lineage: Eukaryota; Metazoa; Chordata; Mammalia; Chiroptera; Phyllostomidae
Exons: 7
Source: RefSeq, a predicted model, not a curated record